GCUAUAUAUAUAACUUUAGGUGCUCUGAUUUUAUUUAGGUUUCGGCAGAUAAGAGAUUACAAAACAAAAGAUUGAACAAUGCGUGCUAAGUGGAAGAAGAAGAGAAUGAGGAGGCUUAAGAGGAAGCGCCGAAAGAUGAGACAGAGAUCCAAGUAGAUAAGUUUGUGCUUCAGACAGUGAGACGGCUUCUUUCAACGAUCCUGCAUCUUCAUCACCUUCUGCAGCCAUGGAGAUAGCGUGUAACAGAUGAAGCUUUGUGAUGUAGCUGUUUGAUUGUCUAGUGGCUUGGCUUGUUUCUGCUUUGCUUUAACGUCUUCAUUUUGUAAUGCACUUCCUGAAAUGUUAGGGUUUAACUUUCGGCUUAAAAUCCUUGACUAGCUGUAUUUCUUUUAUCCAUGGAUUAAGACAACUUUUUGGAUUUGAAA
Molecule: long non-coding RNA, 425 nt
Organism: Erigeron canadensis
Lineage: Eukaryota; Viridiplantae; Streptophyta; Magnoliopsida; Asterales; Asteraceae
Exons: 2
Source: RefSeq, a predicted model, not a curated record